CCUACGGGAGGCAGCAGUGGGGAAUAUUGCACAAUGGAGGGAACUCUGAUGCAGCGACGCCGCGUGAGUGAAGAAGGUCUUCGGAUCGUAAAACUCUGUCCUUGGUGACGAAAAAAAUGACGGUAGCCAAGGAGGAAGCCCCGGCUAACUACGUGCCAGCAGCCGCGGUAAU
RNAcentral lists this ribosomal RNA (172 nucleotides) under uncultured bacterium. Its description in RNAcentral is "partial 16S ribosomal RNA". It matches the Rfam family "Bacterial small subunit ribosomal RNA", at positions 338 to 524 of the family's 1533-position model. The record is from RNAcentral.